GACGAACGCUGGCGGCGUGCUUAACACAUGCAAGUCGAACGGAGAGGCCCUGCUUUUGUGGGGUGCUCGAGUGGCGAAAGGGUGAGUAACACGUGAGUAACCUGCCCUUGACUUUGGGAUAACUUCAGGAAACUGGGGCUAAUACCGGAUAGGAGCUCCUGCUGCAUGGUGGGGGUUGGAAAGUUUCGGCGGUUGGGGAUGGACUCGCGGCUUAUCAGCUUGUUGGUGGGGUAGUGGCUUACCAAGGCUUUGACGGGUAGCCGGCCUGAGAGGGUGACCGGCCACAUUGGGACUGAGAUACGGCCCAGACUCCUACGGGAGGCAGCAGUGGGGAAUAUUGCACAAUGGGCGGAAGCCUGAUGCAGCAACGCCGCGUGCGGGAUGACGGCCUUCGGGUUGUAAACCGCUUUCGCCUGUGACGAAGCGUGAGUGACGGUAAUGGGUAAAGAAGCACCGGCUAACUACGUG
Molecule: ribosomal RNA, 468 nt
Filed under: uncultured bacterium
Lineage: Bacteria
Description: partial 16S ribosomal RNA
Rfam family: Bacterial small subunit ribosomal RNA
Source: RNAcentral